UAGGGAAUCUUCCGCAAUGGACGCAAGUCUGACGGAGCAACGCCGCGUGAGUGAAGAAGGAUUUCGGUUCGUAAAACUCUGUUAUUAGGGAAGAACAAAUGUGUAAGUAACUAUGCACGUCUUGACGGUACCUAAUCAGAAAGCCACGGCUAACUACGUGCCAGCAGCCGCGGUAAUACGUAGGUGGCAAGCGUUAUCCGGAAUUAUUGGGCGUAAAGCGCGCGUAGGCGGUUUUUUAAGUCUGAUGUGAAAGCCCACGGCUCAACCGUGGAGGGUCAUUGGAAACUGGAAAACUUGAGUGCAGAAGAGGAAAGUGGAAUUCCAUGUGUAGCGGUGAAAUGCGUAGAUAUAUGGAGGAACACCGGUGGCGAAAGCGGCUCUCUGGUCUGUAACUGACGCUGAGGCUCGAAAGCGUGGGUAGCAAACAGG
RNAcentral lists this ribosomal RNA (429 nucleotides) under Bacteroidota bacterium. RNAcentral describes it as "Bacteroidetes bacterium partial 16S ribosomal RNA". It matches the Rfam family "Bacterial small subunit ribosomal RNA", at positions 355 to 776 of the family's 1533-position model. The record is from RNAcentral. Lineage: Bacteria; Pseudomonadati; Bacteroidota.